AUGCUUCUAGUUCUACACAUUUUAAUAUACCGAAAGCAAUUUGGUCUAAUGUGACCAUCAAAACCACAAAAAU
Molecule: transfer RNA, 73 nt
Filed under: Acer lucidum
Lineage: Eukaryota; Viridiplantae; Streptophyta; Magnoliopsida; Sapindales; Sapindaceae
Description: tRNA-fMet
Source: RNAcentral